CCAAAGCAUCUUUUAUAAAGGAAACUGAAAAUGAAGGAUCAUACAUCAUCUAGAAUCUAAAAAUAUCAACAAAUAGAAUGCUACUAUUCACAAUCAAUAACUAAAAAUGUAUAAAUCAUGUAACAAAGCAUAAAAUGCAUAGAGAUAAGAAACAAAUAAGAAAAAAGCCAUAUAACAAAUUACAGUGGUUAGUAUGACUCAGCACAGCUCAGGAACAACUUCAGUAAAAUAAGCAAACCAGCAAAGCCAAUAAGCAAAUUAAGAAAUGUGGAAAACAGUCAGAGAUGCGUGACGUUUAUUGUAUACUGCUGGUGAAGAGCGUGUAAAGAACAUUUCACAAGUCUGCAUUCCCUUAUUGCAAACGAGACGGCGGACAGGUAUUCAACCAAAUUUCAUAUGAAUGUCAUCUCCAGCACAGAGACUGACGACAGUCUUUCAAAACUGUCAGUAUCAGGAAUAAACAAGAAGCUGAAUCAGAUAGCAUAUGGCUGCAAGGGCUGUGCUUUUCAUUGUGUGCUCUUGGCGCCGAGGUUAAGACGGAAUUUUUUUUUUUUAAAUGGGGGACCUUCAUUCAUCUGGUAACUUGAAAGCUGUUUCUUGGAAGCCCUGCUUCUGUUUUAUGCUCCCCGUAGCAUCGCACUGCGGUUCAAAAUGAACUCAGGAAGUGCUCGAGAUAAGUGGCGAAGUGUGAUUCUGGUAAGAAGCAGGCAGUUUGCUUAACCUGCUAAGUGCAGCAUCUGUAGCUCACGUCAACACUGGGGAUCAUUCCUGGUCACUGGCAUGGCUUUCUGGUGGCCAGGCCGAGGAAUCCCAGCCUUGGUCAGCGUGAGCAUCCUCCAGUGACACCAUUAGAAACUGACAAAUGAUGAUCGGCAGGUACAGAAGUGAAACCCGAAAGGGCACGCUUUGACUCACGAACCUGUGCAGAGGAUGGCAUCUAAUGUAUCAUGGGAUAUUGGGGCAAGCUGGCUGCUAAAAACUGCAUAUUUUUGCCAGUGUUUUUCAGAGCGGUUCGUGGUUACAUGCAGUGUGGUAUUUCAUCUUCUCGCCAGCCAGGUCACAUGAUGUGCAGCUGCUCCAGUUUAAAGAACACCGGCUUCCUGCGGCAACUUCUGGUAUGGAAGUUUUAACUGAAACUAAAUGCAAACUAUCGACAUUGAAAAACAAAAAAAUGUGCGUGAAAAGUCAUUCAAGGAACUAUAGGUCUUUGUGAAACUUUUUUGCACGACCGUGACAGACCACGACUGCAGUGAAACUUUGAUGUGAUUAAGGUGCACACGUUUGUAUACACUAAGAGCUCUACAUGUGAUUCGAUCUUCAAAACGCAGGGUAAACUCACUGGCUUUUACCCGGGUAUUGUUUUGUCUUUACAGUACUGCCUGCAUCACAUGUCAAGAAACAGUCCUUCUGUAUGGGCGAGAUUCAAAACAAGAAUGUAACUGAUCUGGCCAUUCUAUACUAGUAUUAAAUAAUGUUAGUGGGCUGGGGGGUUUGGCAGCUGGUUGACCUUGGACCCGCAGAACAUUUUUCCUUCUGCUCACUGUUCCUGUUCUCUGUUGCCUUCUGACUCUUUCCUUUUUUCUGUAUGAUGAACAAUUCCAUUUAAUAUCCAUGUACUAAUAUUAAUGUUAAUGUACUACCACACUCUCAUAACUUGAACUGAAUUAUUGAUUGAAGUCCAGGUCUUGAUUUCCCUCCAAAAACGCAGCGUGAGAGUCUAGCAGCAGGCUGUACAGCUCUGUUCCUGUGUUGAUACCCUGUUCACUGGCCCUUUACUAUGAAGACCAAGCAGAGAGCUCUUAUGUUGAAUCAUGGUUAUUUAGUUUAGGUCUCUACCAGACCUACAGAGGAACUGAAAAACCAGCCCACAGCUGCCUGUGUCAUAGGGAUGACGUCUAAGAGACCCCAAUAAAACCCCAUUUUUGUUCUCCGAAACGCCCAUCCAUGGGUCCAUUGCCCCACAGAAACCUCACGGCCUGAACCUGAAUCCCAGCUUCCAGGCCACCCUGCACCAUGUGGAUAGGAUACCCCAAGUGCCCAAGAUCCAGAGACCAGAUGGAUCAUCUAAGCCACAGCGUCCUCCAGAGCCACCCCGUGUUCAAGCAGGAAACUUCUACUCGCUCUAGGACAUCCACCUGAAGUGGAGGAGCAAUCUUGCAAUCUGGAGGGUUCCCAAGGAACUAGCCUUCCUCUGGUGUGCAGGGUAGGUGCUAGCAACCCCCAGGAGUUGGAGAAGGUCCGGGGGCUAGUCGAGCAUGAGGCUGCUCAACCCACCCCUUCUCCACUACAUGAAGCUCCUCUGCUCGCCUCUUCCAUGCAGUAGACACACCUUCAGAGUCCUGUGCCUCCGGGUUUCUUGGCCACACCCUGCUCACCUCCAGGUGCCCCAGCUUCACCCUCCUUGCCUACUGCCAUCCCAUCAGCUCCUGCCUUAUCUCCUGGUGUCCUGCUGGCAUCUGCCUCCUAUUCUGGUGUCCUGCCAGCAACGGCCUCAUCUACUGGCACUGGCCUCACCUCUUGGUGUCCUGCCAGUGCCCAUCUCAUAUCCUGGUGUCCUCCUGGCACCUAGUCUGUUGGUGUCCAACCAGUGCUGUCCUUGUCUCUUAUUGUCGCCUUAGCAGCCUCCUGACUCCUUGCCAGUGGUCUCCUCAUUCCCUGCAGGUCACUGCCUGGCUGACGCUCGACUUGCCAGUCACCACUAAGCCGACAUCCAAUGACUCGGUUGCUGCCAGGCCAGGUUUGGUGAACCUGGUGGAUGCCCCUCCAGAGAACUUAUUUCCUCCUGGAGCCCAUCUAUAAAUGCCCCGUGACGGACUGCAACCCUCUCCUGGGUGCUCCUCAAACUCAUACCCCGUGUUGUCUGAGACAGACCCUGACUAGGACCAGCAGAUGAAAGAUGGCUGUGUGCUUUCUGCAGGCUGGUAUUUCACAUGAUGAACUUUCUUCACCUGCGACACUCGUCCACAAAGCGGGCGGCGGUCACUUCUGUCUCCUGCCCCUCAGGGACAGUCUUCUCCAGCCGGGUCAACAGCUGGAUGACAGCGACUGCGUCCCUCACCUGCAGGACAGGUAUGGAGACCGUGACACAGCAGCCCAGGAUAAUAUUAACUGUUAGCAGAGGAAUAGCUACAGGACAGGCAAA
Molecule: long non-coding RNA, 3142 nt
Organism: Brienomyrus brachyistius
Lineage: Eukaryota; Metazoa; Chordata; Actinopteri; Osteoglossiformes; Mormyridae
Exons: 3
Source: RefSeq, a predicted model, not a curated record